GAGAGCAAGUAGAGAGAGUAAUCCCACAAAGUUAUGAGGUAUUUGUGAGAAAGUAAGUGAGGUGUUUUCUCCUAGUAAUAGAGAGAUUUCAGUUGUUCUCCUAUUGUUAGAGAGAGGUUGUAAUUCCCACAUUACUUAGUAAAAUCCUUCUAUACUUGUCCGUGGACGUAGCCAAAUUGGGUGAACCACGUAAAUUCUUGUGUGUCUAAUUUCUCACUUUAUCCUAUCAUUUGCCUUUUAUCUUGUCGGGUUUGCAUGCCAGUAUCCUAACAGUGGUAUCAGAGCCUUCUGGUUGGCGUUGUUAAUACACAAAAGUUAUUCGUGUAUACGGUUACUAUUCACGUCUACGACACUAUUCACCUAUACGACACUAUUCAUCCAUACGGUACUGUUCACAUACGUUACUGUUGGCGUAUAUAGAAAGUCAGUGCGGUGAUUAAAUACAGUCUAGGAAGUUCUGUCUAAGGAGAUUGGGUUUUAAGCGGGACCGUUUGUGACCCCUCCAAUCUUUCCUGGGAACUUACUUAGUGAAGUAUUAUUCACACGAUACUAUUUCUAUAUACGUUACAGAUCUGUGAAACGGUGAUAGCUGAAUAGAUCACGGUGAAUAAAAUGGCAGCAAAGUAUGAGAUUGAGAGGUUCAAUGGGAGCAAUUUCUCACUCUGGAAAAUGAGAAUCAAAGCAAUCUUAAGGAAAGACAAUUGCUUGGCAGCAAUUGGGGAUCGGCCCGCGGAGAUCACUGAUAAUGCAAAAUGGAAUGAGAUGGAUGGCAAUGCUAUUGCUAACAUACAUUUAGCAUUAGCCGAUGAAGUAUUAUCAAGUGUGGCGGAGAAGAAAACAGCUAAAGAGAUAUGGGAGACUCUAACAAAACUAUAUGAGUCCAAGUCUUUGCACAAUAAGAUUUUCUUAAAGCGGAGACUUUAUACCCUUCGAAUGGCAGAAACCACGGCGGUGACUGACCACAUCAACACAAUAAGAACUCUAUUUUCACAACUCACUACGUUGGGUCAACAAAUAGAGGAAAGUGAACGUGCAGAGCUUCUACUUCAAAGUCUCCCAGAUUCGUAUGAUCAGCUCAUUAUCAACUUGACCAAUAAUAUCCUCACAGACUAUUUAGUCUUUGAUGAUGUUGCAGCCGCUAUCUUGGAAGAAGAAAAUAGGCGCAAAAAUAAAGGAGACAGAAAUAGUUCAAACCAAGCAGAGGCAUUAUUGGUGUCAAGAGGGAGAUCAACGGAGCGUGGCUCCAGUGGGAGUCAAAGGCAAGGGAGGUCCAAAUCAAGAAGUAAGAAGGCUGUGAAAUGCUACAACUGUGGCAGAAAAGGGCACUUUAAAAAGGAUUGUUGGUUUAAAAGGGGUAUAGAGAAUACUGCAGAGUCAUCAAAACCUCAAGGAUGUGUUGCAAGCACCUCAGAAGAUGGAGAGGUUUUAUAUAGUGAAGCAGCAACAAUCUCUACAGAUAGAAAAGAGCUCACAGAGGUUUGGGUAAUGGAUUCAGGAGCAACAUGGCAUAUGACUCCUAAUCGAGAUUGGUUUCAUACAUACGAACCCACCUCUGGAGGCUCAGUGUUCAUGGGUGAUAAUCAUGCUUUAGAGAUUGCUGGCAUUGGCACCAUAAAAUUGAAGAUGUAUGAUGGCUUAAUUCGUACUAUUACAGGAGUGCGUCAUGUGAAAGACUUAAAGAAAAAUCUUUUGUCCGUGGGACAAUUUGAUAGUCUUGGCUGUAAGAUCCGAACAGACAAUGGAAUAAUGAAAAUUGUCAAAGGAGCGCUGGUAGUUUUAAAGGCAAGAAAGACAGUUGCAAACAUGUUUGUAUUAAUGGGAGAAACACAUCAUGGGGCAGAAGCAUCAAUUGCAUCAGCCAGUCCUGCAGAAGAGAAGACGAUGAUGUGGCAUCAAAAACUAGGCCACAUGUCAGAGAAAGGUUUGAAAGUUCUCUCUGAUCAGAAGUUACUCCCUGGGCUUACAAAGGUUACUUUACCCUUUUGUGAGCAUUGUGUUACAAGCAAACAACACAGGUUGAAGUUUGGCACAUCAACAACUAAGAGCAAAUGCAUCUUAGACCUGAUUCACUCUGAUGUUUGGCAAGCACCGGUUGUAUCCCUGGGAGGAGCAAGAUACUUUGUAUCAUUUAUAGAUGACUUCUCCAGGAGAUGUUGGGUGUACCCAAUUAGAAGGAAGGCAGAUGUGCUCGCAGUCUUUAAAACUUUCAAAGCGCGGGUGGAACUUGAAUCUGAAAAGAAGAUCAAGUGUUUGAGGACUGACAAUGGAGGAGAAUAUACCAGUGAUGAAUUUGAUAACUUCUGUCAACAUGAAGGUAUCAAAAGGCAGUUCACAACGGCAUACACUCCACAACAAAAUGGAGUGGCAGAGCGGAUGAACAGAACUCUAUUAGAAAGAACGAGAGCAAUGUUGAAGGCUGCAGGUCUAGGAAAGUCAUUCUGGGCAGAAGCAGUCAAUACCGCCUGUUAUGUGAUAAAUCGAUCUCCAUCAACUGCAAUUGAGCUGAAGACACCGAUGGAGAUGUGGACUGGAAAGCCAGCUGAUUAUUCUCAAUUACAUAUAUUUGGAAGUCCUGUGUACGUAAUGUACAAUACUCAAGAAGUCAACAAGCUGGAUUCAAAAUCCAGAAAAUGUGUAUUCUUGGGAUAUGCUGAUGGAGUGAAGGGGUAUCGCUUGUGGGAUCCCACUGCCCACAAGGUAGUCAUCAGCAGAGAUGUUAUAUUUGCAGAAGGUAAAAUGCAAAUGGAAGAACAUAAUAGCAUUCCAAAGGAGACUACAGCAGUCCAGAUGGAAAAUACUCAGAAUCAUACUUCUUCUGAAGCUGCACCAGAGCAUGAAGAACAAGAACAAAUAGAGUCUGAAACUCCUGAAGUUCGACGAUCAACUCGUGAAAGAAGACCACCGGCUUGGCACUCAGAAUAUGUUACUGAGAGCAACAUUGCAUACUGUCUUCUAACAGAGGAUGGAGAGCCAUCAACUUUCCAUGAGGCUAUCAAAAGCACAGAUGUAUCUAUGUGGAUGACAGCAAUGCAAGAGGAGAUUGAAGCUCUACACAAGAACAACACUUGGGAUCUUGUUCCGCUACCACAAGGAAGGAAGGCCAUUGGCAACAAAUGGGUUUACAAGAUAAAGCGUGAUGGCAAUGAUCAAGUGGAGCGGUAUCGUGCAAGAUUGGUGGUGAAAGGAUAUGCUCAGAAAGAAGGAAUAGACUUUAAUGAGAUAUUUUCUCCAGUGGUACGACUUACUACAAUCAGAGUAGUCUUGGCGAUGUGUGCUAUAUUUGAUCUUCACUUAGAGCAGUUAGAUGUGAAAACUGCAUUUCUUCAUGGAGAACUUGAAGAAGAAAUUUAUAUGCUCCAACCAGAGGGUUUUGCUGAAACAGGCAAGGAGAACUUGGUUUGCAGGUUGAACAAAUCUCUAUACGGUCUCAAACAGGCGCCGAGGUGUUGGUACAAGAGAUUUGAUUCCUUCAUAAUUAGCCUUGGGUACAACAGACUCAGUUCAGACCAUUGUACGUAUUACAAGAGGUUUGAAGAAGAUGAUGUUUUCAUCAUUUUGUUGUUGUACGUGGAUGACAUGUUGGUAAUAGGCCCCAACAAAGAUCGAGUCCAAGAAUUGAAGGCACAAUUGGCUAGGGAGUUCGAUAUGAAGGACUUGGGACCAGCAAACAAGAUUCUAGGGAUGCAAAUUCACCGAGACAGAAGUAAGAGGAAGAUUUGGCUUUCUCAGAAGAAUUAUCUGAAGAAGAUCUUGUGUCGCUUCAACAUGCAAGAUUGUAAGCCAAUUUCCACCCCACUUCCUGUUAACUUCAAAUUAUCCUCAAGUAUGUCUCCUAGCAAUGAAGCAGAGAGGAUGGAGAUGUCUCGAGUACCGUAUGCAUCAGCAGUGGGAAGUUUAAUGUUUGCCAUGAUAUGUACAAGACCAGACAUUGCACAAGCAGUGGGAGCAGCUAGUCGAUACAUGGCAAAUCCUGGUAGAGAGCAUUGGAAUACUAUUAAGAGGAUCUUGAGAUACAUCAAGGGCACCUCAGAUGUUGCAUUAUGUUAUGGAGGAUCAGAAUUUACCGUCAGAGGUUAUGUUGAUUCAGAUUUUGCUGGCAACCUUGAGAAAAGAAAAUCCACUACAGGCUAUGUGUUCAUAAUUGCAGGAGGAGCUGUGAGCUGGGUCUCUAAACUUCAGACUGUUGUAGCUUUAUCCACAACAGAAGCUGAGUACAUGGCAGCUACACAAGCUUGUAAAGAAGCAAUAUGGAUGAAGAAACUUAUGGAGGAGCUCGGGCACAAACAAGACAACAUUCUUUUGUAUUGUGAUAGUCAGAGUGCUUUGCAUAUUGCAAGGAAUCCCGCGUUUCAUUCAAGAACAAAACACAUAGAUGUUCAGUAUCACUUUGUUCGCGAAGUAGUGGAAGAUGGAAGUGUAGAUUUUCAAAAGGUUCACACGAAAGAAAACCCAGCAGAUGCUUUAACCAAACCAGUCAACACUGACAAGUACAUAUGGUGCAGAUCCUCUUAUGGCCUAACAGAAACGUAAGCAGCAUGAAGAUGACAAGUAUAGAAAGGAUAGAAGAAUCACAGAUGAUUAAGUGUGAAGACUUGAUUCACUCAUCAAAGUCUUCAAGUGGGAGAAUGUGAAGCCAGCUGCAUUGUUGGCAAAGUCAACAAUGUUAGGCACCAAAUUGGUGCUGCAAAUUCAACAAAGUUGGGCACCAAUUCGGUGCCACUUGCAGCACCAAUUGGUGCCCCUUUGUCCUUUGCUUGGAUGCUUGCCUAUAAAUAGGCAGUGCAUCCAAGCUUAUUUAACACACCACAAGAGAGAAAUUUGAGAGCAAGUAGAGAGAGUGAAGAGAGAGUAAUCCCACAAAGUUGUGAGGUAUUUGUGAGAAAGUAAGUGAGGUGUUUUCUCCUAGUAAUAGAGAGAUUUCAGUUGUUCUCCUAUUGUUAGAGAGAGGUUGUAAUUCCCACAUUACUUAGUAAAAUCCUUCUAUACUUGUCCGUGGACGUAGCCAAAUUGGGUGAACCACGUAAAUUCUUGUGUGUCUAAUUUCUCACUUUAUCCUAUCAUUUGCCUUUUAUCUUGUCGGGUUUGCAUGCCAGUAUCCUAACAAG
Molecule: long non-coding RNA, 5105 nt
Filed under: Populus trichocarpa (black cottonwood)
Lineage: Eukaryota; Viridiplantae; Streptophyta; Magnoliopsida; Malpighiales; Salicaceae
Description: long non-coding RNA (PTRI_LNC000728)
Source: RNAcentral